AUCCACUAGUUCAGGGUCAUUGUACAAUCCACUAGAAUGCUAGUUCAGGGUCAAAGGUGACUGAAACUCAAUCCAAAAAAAUCAAGGAGGGACUCCCUCCCUAACACAUUCUAUGAAUCUAGUAUCACAAUUGUACCCAAAUCAGGCAAAGCCAUACACACACACACACACACACACACACAACUGGUCAAUAUCCCUGAUGAACAUAGAUGCAAAAAUUCUCAACUAGCAAAAUGAAUUCAAUAGUACAUCAAAAAGAUAAUAUAGUUAAGUGGGUUUUACUCCAGAAAUACA
Molecule: long non-coding RNA, 294 nt
Filed under: Homo sapiens (human)
Lineage: Eukaryota; Metazoa; Chordata; Mammalia; Primates; Hominidae
Description: HSALNT0274920
Source: RNAcentral